GACGAACGCUGGCGGCGUGCUUAACACAUGCAAGUCGAACGAAGAGCGAUGGAAGCUUGCUUCUAUCAAUCUUAGUGGCGAACGGGUGAGUAACGCGUAAUCAACCUGCCCUUCAGAGGGGGACAACAGUUGGAAACGACUGCUAAUACCGCAUACGAUCUAAUCUCGGCAUCGAGGAUAGAUGAAAGGUGGCCUCUACAUGUAAGCUAUCACUGAAGGAGGGGAUUGCGUCUGAUUAGCUAGUUGGAGGGGUAACGGCCCACCAAGGCGAUGAUCAGUAGCCGGUCUGAGAGGAUGAACGGCCACAUUGGCACUGAGACACGGCCCAGACUCCUACGGGAGGCAGCAGUGGGGAAUCUUCCGCAAUGGACGAAAGUCUGACGGAGCAACGCCGCGUGAGUGAUGACGGCCUUCGGGUUGUAAAGCUCUGUUAAUCGGGACGAAAGGCCUUCUUGCGAAUAGUGAGAAGGAUUGACGGUACCGGAAUAGAAAGCCACGGCUAACUACGUG
This 510-nucleotide ribosomal RNA is filed under the name uncultured bacterium. RNAcentral describes it as "partial 16S ribosomal RNA". It matches the Rfam family "Bacterial small subunit ribosomal RNA", at positions 28 to 507 of the family's 1533-position model. The record is from RNAcentral.